UUCCUACGGGAGGCAGCAGUGAGGAAUAUUGGGCAAUGGGCGCAAGCCUGACCCAGCCAUGCCGCGUGAAGGAUGAAUGCCCUAUGGGUUGUAAACUUCUUUUGUACGGGACGAAACUCCUGGUCGUGACCGGGAUUGACUGUACCGUACGAAUAAGCAUCGGCUAACUCCGUGCCAGCAGCCGCGGUAAUACGGAGGAUGCAAGCGUUAUCCGGAUUCAUUGGGUUUAAAGGGUGCGUAGGCGGAAUAAUAAGUCAGUGGUGAAAGCCUGCGGCUUAACCGUAGAAAUGCCAUUGAUACUGUUAUUCUUGAGUAUAGUUGAGGUGGGCGGAAUGUGUAAUGUAGCGGUGAAAUGCUUAGAUAUUACACAGAACACCAAUUGCGAAGGCAGCUCACUAAGCUGUUACUGACGCUGAGGCACGAAAGCGUGGGGAGCAAACAGGAUUAGAUACCCGGGUAGUCG
This 463-nucleotide ribosomal RNA is filed under the name uncultured Bacteroidales bacterium. Its description in RNAcentral is "bacterial SSU rRNA". It matches the Rfam family "Bacterial small subunit ribosomal RNA", at positions 336 to 796 of the family's 1533-position model. The record is from RNAcentral. Lineage: Bacteria; Pseudomonadati; Bacteroidota; Bacteroidia; Bacteroidales.